GAUGAACGCUGGCGGUCUGCUUAACACAUGCAAGUCGAACGCAACCUUCGGGUUGAGUGGCGGACGGGUGAGUAACGCGUGAGAAUCUGCCUUGGGGUCGGGGACAACCACUGGAAACGGUGGCUAAUACCGGAUAAGCCUUUGGGUAAAAAAUUUAUUGCCCCAAGAGGAGCUCGCGUCUGAUUAGCUAGUUGGUGAGGUAAAAGCUCACCAAGGCAGCGAUCAGUAGCUGGUCUGAGAGGACGAUCAGCCACACUGGGACUGAGACACGGCCCAGACUCCUACGGGAGGCAGCAGUGGGGAAUUUUCCGCAAUGGGCGAAAGCCUGACGGAGCAAGACCGCGUGAGGGAGGAAGGCUCUUGGGUUGUAAACCUCUUUUCUCAGGGAAGAAGCUCUGACGGUACCUGAGGAAUCAGCCUCGGCUAACUCCGUGCCAGCAGCCGCGGUAAUACGGAGGAGGCAAGCGUUAUCCGGAAUUAUUGGGCGUAAAGCGUCCGCAGGUGGCGAUUCAAGUCUGCUGUCAAAGCACGGGGCUUAACUCCGUUAAGGCAGUGGAAACUGAAUAGCUAGAGUGCCGUAGGGGUAGAGGGAAUUCCCGGUGUAGCGGUGAAAUGCGUAGAGAUCGGGAAGAACAUCGGUGGCGAAAGCGCUCUACUGGACGGACACUGACACUCAGGGACGAAAGCUAGGGGAGCGAAUGGGAUUAGAUACCCCCAGUAGUCCUAGCUGUAAACGAUGGAUACUAGGUGUAGCUU
Molecule: ribosomal RNA, 756 nt
Filed under: uncultured organism
Description: bacterial SSU rRNA
Rfam family: Bacterial small subunit ribosomal RNA
Source: RNAcentral